RNAcentral lists this ribosomal RNA (410 nucleotides) under uncultured Methylomirabilota bacterium. RNAcentral describes it as "bacterial SSU rRNA". It matches the Rfam family "Bacterial small subunit ribosomal RNA", at positions 1025 to 1434 of the family's 1533-position model. Lineage: Bacteria; Methylomirabilota (SeqCode). The record is from RNAcentral.
AGCGUGGAGACAGGUGGUGCAUGGCUGUCGUCAGCUCGUGUCGUGAGAUGUUGGGUUAAGUCCCGCAACGAGCGCAACCCUCACCUCUUGUUGCCAUCAGGUAAUGCUGGGCACUCUAGAGGAACUGCCCCGGUCAACGGGGAGGAAGGCGGGGAUGACGUCAAGUCAUCAUGCCCCUUACGUCCUGGGCUACACACGUGCUACAAUGGCCGGUACAAAGGGAUGCCACACCGUGAGGUAGAGCUAAACCCAAAAAGCCGGUCUAAGUUCAGAUUGGAGUCUGCAACUCGACUCCAUGAAGGAGGAAUCGCUAGUAAUCGCGUAUCAGCACGACGCGGUGAAUACGUUCCCGGGCCUUGUACACACCGCCCGUCACACCACGAAAGCCAGCUGUACUCGAAGUCGCUGAG